RNAcentral lists this RNase P RNA (466 nucleotides) under Verrucomicrobiota bacterium. RNAcentral describes it as "Verrucomicrobia bacterium RNase P RNA component class A". It matches the Rfam family "Bacterial RNase P class A". Rfam says of the family: Ribonuclease P (RNase P) is a ubiquitous endoribonuclease, found in archaea, bacteria and eukarya as well as chloroplasts and mitochondria. Its best characterised activity is the generation of mature 5'-ends of tRNAs by cleaving the 5'-leader elements of precursor-tRNAs. Cellular RNase Ps are ribonucleoproteins. Lineage: Bacteria; Pseudomonadati; Verrucomicrobiota. The record is from RNAcentral.
GUGCGAUGGCAGAUGAUCGCUGGUGAGCCGCGAGGCUUGCUGGAGGAAAGUCCGAACACCAUACGGCGACAUGCCGCGUAAAACACGCGGGCGCCGCAGUUGCAAAAUUGCGGUGACGGAAAGUGUCACAGAAAAGACACCGCCGGUUCUUUGGCAACUAUGGGCAACUGUAGGGGAAGCUGUCAGCUUCCCGCGUCCGGGACAGGCAAGGUUGAAAAGGCGAGGUAAGAGCUCACCGCUCGCGGAGCAAUUCGCGAGGCAGGAAAAACCCCAUGCGGUGCAAGACAAAACAGAGGGAGGGCAGCCGGCCCGUUGGCCCUCGGGUAUCGUCGCAUUGCGAUGCUGUAGCGGCGGUCUAUGACCGCCGAAACUUCAUCGGACGCUCGGAGAAAUUCGGGUGAGAUAAAUGAUCAUCGCCCCGAAGAAAUUCGGGACACAGAAUUCGGCUUACCGCCAUCAAAUAUGA